This is a long non-coding RNA of Zonotrichia leucophrys gambelii, 985 nucleotides long. RefSeq lists it as uncharacterized. The record is from RefSeq and is a predicted model, not a curated record. The transcript has 2 exons. NCBI's taxonomy places the organism in Eukaryota, Metazoa, Chordata, Aves, Passeriformes, Passerellidae.
CGGCCUGUUGUGGGGCCGAGCGCGGGCGGGAGCGAGGGUGUCUGAGUCAGAGCUGCAUCCUCGGAGGAAUAAACGCCAAAACUCCCUCCUCGGCCGCUCUCACACCCCCAACCUCCGGCUUCUUCCUCACGACCGUCGAUGCUGUCAACAUACGUGUUCUUUAUGAAUCUCUAACAGCACAUUUUCGGCCUAAACUGCGCGAAAAGCCGGGCAGACCCGCUGGAUCUCACACACGCAGAAGAACUACCUGAGGGGAGGGGAAGAGGGGAGCGAGAAAGGAGCGGGAAUUUUUGCAGACCUGCUCAGGAGGUUUUGACUGAAACUUUCAGUAAGACACUCGAGGCUGAGAAUCUUCCCCGAAGCGUUUAGGACUCAAAGGGAAUGAGACAAGCAGAGAACGAGCCUCGUUUGCCCGUUAGGGAACAGCGCUCGGGGAGUAGGAAUGGCGCGCUUCCAUCCAGACCAGCGGGCGCUGCCACUGCCAGGAGCUCGCUCAGCCUUUCAGGGCAAACACAGCUCCUGCCGUUCGUAAGCAGCCCGUCUUUCUAACCACCAUGUCUCCUUUUCCUUGUACCCCUACGCCGCCCUGCCUCCCUUGCCCGGCUUCAGCCCCUCCAGCGCUACGGCUGAUGGAGGGAGGGGAGGCGGCGGCUGGGGUUUCGUUCGACGCCCACCAGGGGCUGAGCGAGCCUUCUUCAGUGCGCAAACUCGGGGCACCAGAUAAAAGCUGGGCUGGCAGCUCUUACCCUGCCUCGAUGGAGCCGCCACUUUCGGGUGACUGGAGAAGCAGUUAGCAGCAGCGCCAUAGACUAGCGUCCCCCCACACCUUGGGCACAGAGAGUUUGGGGCUCUAAAGAGCUGCUGCUGCGGCAGGAGGGAGCCGAGGUGAAGGGAUCUGCUAGCUGGUUGGACGCAGAGGAGGCGGCUGUAAUGGGGCAUUAAGUCUGAGGGAGGAGGGGGGGCGAUUAAACCUCUUGUGAUCAUG